GAUGAACGCUGGCGGCGUGCCUAAUACAUGCAAGUCGAGCGAACAGACGAGGAGCUUGCUCCUCUGACGUUAGCGGCGGACGGGUGAGUAACACGUGGAUAACCUACCUAUAAGACUGGGAUAACUUCGGGAAACCGGAGCUAAUACCGGAUAACAUGUUGAACCGCAUGGUUCAACAGUGAAAGACGGUCUUGCUGUCACUUAUAGAUGGAUCCGCGCCGCAUUAGCUAGUUGGUAAGGUAACGGCUUACCAAGGCAACGAUGCGUAGCCGACCUGAGAGGGUGAUCGGCCACACUAGAACUGGGACACGGUCCAGACUCCUACGGGAGGCAGCAGUAGGGAAUCUUACGCAAUGGGCGAAAGCCUGACGGAGCAACGCCGCGUGAGUGAUGAAGGUCUUCGGAUCGUAAAACUCUGUUAUUAGGGAAGAACAAAUGUGUAAGUAACUAUGCACGUCUUGACGGUACCUAAUCAGAAAGCCACGGCUAACUACGUG
RNAcentral lists this ribosomal RNA (497 nucleotides) under uncultured bacterium. RNAcentral's name for it is "partial 16S ribosomal RNA". It matches the Rfam family "Bacterial small subunit ribosomal RNA", at positions 28 to 507 of the family's 1533-position model. The record is from RNAcentral.